Molecule: ribosomal RNA, 497 nt
Filed under: uncultured bacterium
Lineage: Bacteria
Description: bacterial SSU rRNA
Rfam family: Bacterial small subunit ribosomal RNA
Source: RNAcentral
GGCUCAGGAUGAACGCUAGCUACAGGCUUAACACAUGCAAGUCGAGGGGAAACGAUAGNGAAAGCUUGCUUUUUCUAGGCGUCGACCGGCGCACGGGUGAGUAACGCGUAUCCAACCUGCCCAUCACUUGGGGAUAACCUUGCGAAAGUAAGACUAAUACCCAAUGACGUCUCUAGAAGACAUCUGAAAGAGAUUAAAGAUUUAUCGGUGAUGGAUGGGGAUGCGUCUGAUUAGCUUGUUGGCGGGGUAACGGCCCACCAAGGCGACGAUCAGUAGGGGUUCUGAGAGGAAGGUCCCCCACAUUGGAACUGAGACACGGUCCAAACUCCUACGGGAGGCAGCAGUGAGGAAUAUUGGUCAAUGGACGAGAGUCUGAACCAGCCAAGUAGCGUGCAGGAUGACGGCCCUAUGGGUUGUAAACUGCUUUAUAAGGGAAUAAAGUGAGUCUCGUGAGACUUUUGCAUGUACCUUAUGAAUAAGGACCGGCUAAUUCCGUG